CGAACGAAGCACCUUACUUGAUUCUUCGGAUGAAGGUCUGGUGACUGAGUGGCGGACGGGUGAGUAACGCGUGGGUAACCUGCCCUGUACAGGGGGAUAACAGCUGGAAACGGCUGCUAAUACCGCAUAAGCGCACGAGGAGACAUCUCCUAGUGUGAAAAACUCCGGUGGUACAGGAUGGGCCCGCGUCUGAUUAGCUGGUUGGCAGGGUAACGGCCUACCAAGGCAACGAUCAGUAGCCGGUCUGAGAGGAUGAACGGCCACAUUGGAACUGAGACACGGUCCAAACUCCUACGGGAGGCAGCAGUGGGGAAUAUUGCACAAUGGGGGAAACCCUGAUGCAGCAACGCCGCGUGAGUGAAGAAGUAUUUCGGUAUGUAAAGCUCUAUCAGCAGGGAAGAUAAUGACGGUACCUGACUAAGAAGCUCCGGCUAAAUACGUGCCAGCAGCCGCGGUAAUACGUAUGGAGCAAGCGUUAUCCGGAUUUACUGGGUGUAAAGGGUGCGUAGGUGGCAGUGCAAGUCAGAUGUGAAAGGCCGGGGCUCAACCCCGGAGCUGCAUUUGAAACUGCAUAGCUGGAGUACAGGAGAGGCAGGCGGAAUUCCUAGUGUAGCGGUGAAAUGCGUAGAUAUUAGGAGGAACACCAGUGGCGAAGGCGGCCUG
This 663-nucleotide ribosomal RNA is filed under the name uncultured Lachnospiraceae bacterium. RNAcentral describes it as "bacterial SSU rRNA". It matches the Rfam family "Bacterial small subunit ribosomal RNA", at positions 63 to 728 of the family's 1533-position model. Lineage: Bacteria; Bacillati; Bacillota; Clostridia; Lachnospirales; Lachnospiraceae. The record is from RNAcentral.